Molecule: non-coding RNA, 3034 nt
Organism: Coturnix japonica (Japanese quail)
Lineage: Eukaryota; Metazoa; Chordata; Aves; Galliformes; Phasianidae
Source: RefSeq, a predicted model, not a curated record
CCCACCCCGCCCCCCGCCUCCAUGGGAGCUCAGCAGGGCGGGCACAGCUCUACCGGCCCCCCGUGUCCCCCCCCCGCAGUGUGUUGCAUAAGCGGCCCCGUUGCCUAAAGUCGAGUCGCUCUUCGUGUCACCCCAGGGCACAGCGGGGCCCGAGGAGGAGGAGGAGGGAGCUCUGGGCAGGAUGAGGCACCACACCAUCCAUCUCUUCCGUAAGGGCCUUCGGUUGCACGACAACCCAGCUCUGCUGGCUGCACUGCAGUCCUCUGAGGUCGUCUACCCUGUCUACAUCCUGGAUAGAGCCUUCAUGACGUCCGUCAUGCACAUAGGAGCCUUGAGGUGGCAUUUCCUGCUGCAGUCCCUGGAGGAUUUGAGGAGCAGUUUGUGCCAGCUGGGUUCCUGUUUGCUGGUCAUUCAAGGAGAAUACGAAUCAGUUGUCAGAGAUCACGUCCAGAAGUGGAACAUCACUCAAGUGACUCUGGAUGAGGAGAUGGAACCCUUUUACAAGGAGAUGGAAGCCAACAUUCGGGGUCUGGGAGAAGAGCUGGGCUUCGAGGUGCUCUCAUUGAUGGGCCACAGCCUCUAUAACACCCAACGGAUUUUGGAGCUGAAUGGUGGGACUCCCCCACUGACAUACAAGAGGUUCCUUCGCAUCCUGGCACUGCUUGGGGACCCAGAGGUUCCUGUUCGAAACCUCACAGCUGAGGACUUCCAGAGGUGCAGCCCCCCUGAGCUGGGCCUGGCUGAGCGCUACGGGGUCCCUUUGCCCACGGAUCUGAAGAUCCCCCCUGAGAGCAUCUCCCCAUGGAGAGGAGGGGAGAGUGAAGGGCUGCAUCGCUUGGAGCAGCACCUGGCAGACCAGGGCUGGGUGGCAAGUUUCACCAAACCAAAAACAAUCCCGAAUUCACUGCUUCCAAGCACCACUGGCCUCAGCCCCUAUUUCAGCAUGGGCUGCCUGUCAGUCCGCAGCUUCUUUUAUAGGCUGUCAAACAUUUAUGCUCAGGCCAAGCACCACUCCCUGCCUCCUGUGUCACUCCAAGGGCAGCUGCUGUGGAGGGAAUUCUUCUACACGGUGGCAUCAGCAACACCAAACUUCACCAAAAUGGCCGGGAAUCCCAUCUGCCUCCAGAUCCGUUGGUAUGAGGAUGCUGAGAGGCUCCACAGAUGGAAAACGGCUCAGACCGGGUUCCCUUGGAUUGAUGCAAUCAUGACCCAGCUGCGACAAGAGGGCUGGAUCCACCACCUUGCCCGGCACGCUGCCGCCUGCUUCCUGACCAGGGGGGACCUUUGGAUCAGCUGGGAAGAGGGCAUGAAGGUGUUUGAAGAGCUGCUUUUAGAUGCUGACUACAGCAUCAACGCAGGGAACUGGAUGUGGCUGUCAGCCAGUGCCUUCUUCCACCAGUACACACGGAUCUUCUGCCCAGUUCGUUUUGGGAGGCGCACAGACCCAGAGGGGGAAUACAUCAGGAAGUACUUACCUAUCCUAAAGAACUUUCCCUCUAAGUACAUCUACGAGCCCUGGACGGCCUCUGAAGAGGAGCAGAAGCAAGCAGGAUGUAUCAUAGGUCGGGAUUACCCCUUCCCAAUGGUGGACCACAAGGAGGCCAGUGAUCACAACCUGCAGCUGAUGAAGCAGGUCCGAGAGGAGCAGUACAGGACAGCCCAGCUCACCAGAGAUGAUGCGGAUGACCCCAUGGAAAUGAAGCUGAAGCGGGACCUCUCUGAGGAAAACUUACCAAAGACAAAAGCAGCCAGGAUGACAGAGCAAGCCUAGAUCCCAUUGAGGGGGUUACCCUCUGGGGACAGAGGAAUGGCAGAAGGGAGAGCAGAGGCCAUCCAAGCAGGAGGAGCAGCACUCCAUGCAUGAAUUGACCACCAGCAAAAGCUCUGUACCUCCCACCUAUUUGUUACUGCUGUUACCUGGAAUGACUUUGCUAGAUGGUGGCUUUAGUAGUCAUUUACUGCAGCUGUAGGCAAUGGAUGUGUUUCUGUGUUGCUAUUAUUCAAAUCCACUCGGUGUCCAUGCGUCUUUAUGAAUAGUUUUAAUGACAAACACCACCCUUUCCAUUGCGACAGAUACACAUGGAUUUAAGGCUAAAUUGCCUCUCCUGGGUAGAGAGGCAAAUUUUAAGGGCAUUGUUGUACAGUUUAUCAGUGGGUCGGGGCUGAUGUCCUUCUUGUCUUGUUCCUCUACCUGUGGGGUAGAUAUUAGUCCUCUCGCGUACCACAUGUUAAAAUUCCCCCCUCCAUUGAAAUGGCUCCUCCAGAAGUAUCACAAGGCUGAGUAGCCUGUUUUCUUUGUUAUGGUUGGGGUUCUGGCAGGGGUCAGAGGAGAGGGGUGGGUUUUCAUCACUGUGGGUAUCACUUUUGUUUAUAAAAGGAAUAAAACUUAUUUCUGAUGUGACAAAAACGUGAGGUCUGUAGAUUAAUCUGUUGUCACAAUUGGUGCCCAUCUGCCCUCAUUGGAAUGAAGACAACUAUUGCAUCAAUCCCACAUGCCCAGACUCCUUCACUCUGGAGGCAUCCAUGGACCACUGCAGAAGCAGCCUGUGAGCCCCAUGAACCGGGGGUGGGUGUUUUCUUACAGUAAAUACAUUAGGACCAUCUGAUAGAUCUGAGAAUGAGCCUUGUCAUCCCACUGUGCUGAGCCUGAACUGAGCUGAGCUGGUGAAGACACAGGGGUUACCAGGAGGACCAGAAUGAAAGGCUGAGCAGGAUGAGGGCAAUGCAGCAAUACAGAGCUGGUUGUUACAUCGUGUUUUCGAGGCACAGCCAUCUCCUUCAUGUCCUAAAGCAGCCUGUUUCUAUUUCAGUGCCAUGCCUGGCAUUGCUGUGCAAACAGAGACUUCGUGUGCUUGUUGCUCACGGUUUGGAGUGGCAUUGUUUCUCCCAGGAGGUCAGAUUGCAGCUGUGAAGGUUCAAAGGACCUUUGGGACUCCUUUUGUUGCAAGGUUUGGUCUUUGGUUGGAAGAACGAGGGUUUGGGUCUGCAAAGAAGCUGUGCAGGAGAAACUGCAAGAGCAGGAAACUGCAAGAGC